This 341-nucleotide ribosomal RNA is filed under the name Clostridia bacterium. Its description in RNAcentral is "bacterial SSU rRNA". It matches the Rfam family "Bacterial small subunit ribosomal RNA", at positions 1 to 351 of the family's 1533-position model. Lineage: Bacteria; Bacillati; Bacillota; Clostridia. The record is from RNAcentral.
UUUUUAGAGAGUUUGAUCCUGGCUCAGGAUUAACGGUGGCGGCGUGCAUAACACAUUCAAGUCGAACGGAAGUAGCAAUACUUUAGUGGCGGACGGGUGAGUAACGCGUGAGUAAUCUACCUCAGGGUGCGGAAUAACAACCGGAAACAGUUGCUAAUACCGCAUAACAUAUAGGUACUGCAUGGUACUUAUAUCAAAGGCUUGCUGCCCUGAGAUGAGCUUGCGUCCGAUUAGGUAGUUGGCGGGGUAAGAGCCCACCAAGCCGACGAUCGGUAGCCGGACUGAGAGGUUGAACGGCCACAUUGGAACUGAGAUACGGUCCAGACUCCUACGGGAGGCAG